RNAcentral lists this small nucleolar RNA (116 nucleotides) under Echinops telfairi (small Madagascar hedgehog). RNAcentral's name for it is "Small nucleolar RNA SNORA61 (ENSETEG00000026886.1)". The record is from RNAcentral. Lineage: Eukaryota; Metazoa; Chordata; Mammalia; Afrosoricida; Tenrecidae.
ACCUGCCAGAUUCCCUGCCCAUUAGGUCUAAUGGGCGGCGUGGUCAUAAAAGGAUGAAUGGCAACACUGAAACUGACUUAGAUUCUUUGUGGCACGCAAAGUAGUUUCAGACAAAC